UCCUGGCUUAGGAUGAACGCUAGCGACAGGCCUAACACAUGCAAGUCGAGGGGCAGCACAAGGAGCAAUCUGAGGUGGCGACCGGCGCACGGGUGAGUAACACGUACGCAACCUGGCUGUAAAGAGGGGGAAUAACCCGGAGAAAUCCGGACUAAUACCGCUAUAAUACUUAGAAUCCGCAUGGAUUUUAAGUUAAACAUUUAUGGCUUACAGAUGGGCAUGCGUAUGAUUAGCUGGUUGGAGAGGUAACGGCUCCCCAAGGCAACGAUCAUUAGGGGUUCUGAGAGGAAGGUCCCCCACACUGGUACUGAGACACGGACCAGACUCCUACGGGAGCAGCAGUGAGGAAUAUUGGUCAAUGGACGCAAGUCUGAACCAGCCCAAGUCGCGUGAAGGAAGAAUGUCCUAUGGAUUGUAAACUUCUUUUGAAGGGGAAUAAAGUACGGUACGUGUACCGUUUUGUAUGUACCCUUCGAAUAAGGAUCGGCUAACUCCGUGCCAGCCGCCGC
RNAcentral lists this ribosomal RNA (509 nucleotides) under uncultured bacterium. Its description in RNAcentral is "bacterial SSU rRNA". It matches the Rfam family "Bacterial small subunit ribosomal RNA", at positions 17 to 518 of the family's 1533-position model. The record is from RNAcentral.